This is a long non-coding RNA of Rhipicephalus microplus (southern cattle tick), 391 nucleotides long. RefSeq lists it as uncharacterized. The record is from RefSeq and is a predicted model, not a curated record. Lineage: Eukaryota; Metazoa; Arthropoda; Arachnida; Ixodida; Ixodidae.
CACACUGUAGAGACGGCUGAAUACGGAACCAUCUGCAGCUGACGUUGUUCCGCACUACACGUGACCUCGUCAUGGCAAAGGCUGUCCCAUUCGUCAUCCUCGUCAUCGCUGUUCUUUGCAGCAAGGCAGCCGCGCAACUUGGUCUUGGCCUCUAUGGGGGCGUUGGACCGUAUUUUCGGCCAGGCUUCGGCUAUGGCGGAUACGGAGGCUAUGGAGUAUUUGGCGGCUAUGGAUACCCAGGCUUGAGAUUCGGCGGUGGCUACGGAGGGUUCGGACCUGGCAUUGGAUUUUUCGGUCGAUAACAAUGUGUGUACUUCAAUCACCCCAUAGAUGUGAACAAUUACAGCUCCUUGUGAACGCUUGAAUAGCAAAUACAUUCUUACAAAAGAAA